This is an RNA transcript of Gadus morhua (Atlantic cod), 2175 nucleotides long. It is a transcript of the gene named ring finger protein 130, with no coding region annotated. The record is from RefSeq and is a predicted model, not a curated record. NCBI's taxonomy places the organism in Eukaryota, Metazoa, Chordata, Actinopteri, Gadiformes, Gadidae. The transcript has 10 exons.
UGCGCCUGCGCUCUGCGUCGCCACCGCGAGAAAGACUCCACAGGCUCGAGCCUCUAAACCUCCCCGCCAGCAGCGGUUUUCUCGAAAGGCCACGAGCUACUGAAAUGAAAGCUGCACUAAUACCUCUUCACACGUCGGAGUCUACGACUGCAUGAAGAAGGCCGUGUAGCGUUGACACGCGUUGGGAGGGUUUAAAGGACACGACAUGAAGAGGACAGCAUGGUGUGCAUGAGGGGUCGUCACACGCAGAGGGAAUGACACGCAUCCUCUAUGACUGUGAGGGUGAAUCUUAAUUACUGCGCGGAGCUCGUUUUCUGACCAACCGGUUGGAUGUACUACGAGGGAGCGCGCACCUAGACGGCCCGAAGAUGUCCCAGAGCUGGACCGCCGCCACGCCGUGCCGCUGUCUCGCCGCCGUUCUCGUUCUCCUCCUUCUCGUCUUGCCCCCGCGCGCGCUCUCCAUCCGUGCCGACAAGGCUCUCAACAAGGACGACCACGUGAGCGCCACGGUCAACGCCACCGUGUUGGACUCAAAGGGCAACCCCGUCCAGAUGAUGAGCAACGACGACGGCACGUACGGUCAGAACUCACCGAAGAGCGACACGAAAGGCACGGUGAUCGCGCCUGCGCAUUACCAUGGAGUGGUGGACCGCCAGGGCUGUGACCCCCACACACGCUUCGUGGUGCCCCCGCGCACCGGGCACUGGGUGGCCCUGCUGCAGCGCGGGAACUGCACCUUCAAGGAGAAGAUCCUGAAGGCCUCCGCCUACAACGCCUCUGCCGUGCUCGUCUACAACAACUCCACCGAAAAGACGGUCAAGAUGGGCCACGACGGCACUGGUGACACCGUAGCAGUCAUGAUCACCGAAGCGUACGGCAGAGAGAUCCUGUCCCACCUUGAGCGCAACCUGACGGUGCUGGUGAGCGUGGUGGUGGGCCAGCGCGGGCCCACCAAGAACAUCAACCGGGGUUCCCUGGUGUUCGUCUCCAUUUCCUUCAUCGUCCUGAUGAUCAUCUCGUCCGCCUGGCUCAUCUUCUACUUCAUUCAGAAGAUCCGCUACACCAACGCCCGGGACCGCAGCCAGCGUCGCCUUGGCGAUGCAGCCAAGAAAGCCAUUGGGAAGCUGACCACAAGGACCGUGAAGAAAGGAGAUAAGGAAAUUGACCCAGACUUCAACCACUGUGCAGUGUGUAUCGAGGGCUACCAGCCCAACGACGUGGUGCGAAUCCUGCCUUGCAAGCAUGUCUUCCACAAGAUGUGUGUGGACCCCUGGCUCAACGAGCACUGUACGUGCCCCAUGUGUAAACUCAACAUCCUCAAAGCUCUGGGGAUCAUGACCAACCUGCCGUGCGUGGACAACGUGGCCUUCGGCAUGGAGAGGAUAGGCCGCAGCCAGACUUCGGGCAGUCAGAGGAUGGCUCUGGUGGACCUCUCCAACGAAGCCUCCAUCAGCAUGGAGCCCCUGAGGCCUUCUGGGGGCCCUCAGGGGGUCCCCUCGGACGGAGAACUCACCCCUCACACCGGGGAAAUCAACAUUGCCGUCACCAAGCUUUGGGUUGUGGUCCUCACCUUCGGUCUUCUGUGUGUCCUGGUGCUCUGCUUCAUCAUCAUGAAGGCUGCAACACUGUUCAGCGGGCAGGAUGGAGAAGCAAUGCCAGUAGAGGAUUAGAGGAACAUUGACCUGGAAGAUGACCUCUGACCUCUGAACUACUGUAGGUCAUCCUCCGUCAUGGGUUCCUCCCUCAAGAUUGACCUUUUUGAAAUGUGGCCAUUUCUUCAACCGGAGCUCUGGCUCUCCUCGGAGCAUCGUGUGUGAGGUUGAGCUGCCCGACAACCAAGUGCCCCAUGACCUCUACGACGACAACAAGUCAUGAGCUGCGCCACCAAGAUGGCCGACCCCCCUCCUCCUCCCCCUUCCUCCCUCUCUUUGCCCCCCCCCCCCUCUUUUCCGCCUCCUUACUUGCUGAAGGACCCUCUUUGGAGCGUGGGGGUGUUUGUGGGGGUGUAAAGGGAGGUGGGCAGGGGGUGUUGCGAUGGACAAUGUCUUCUGAACAUUCACAUCAAAGACUCUUCUGUCUCUGCCGCUGCGGAUUGUAACGUUGCUAUGUUGCUAUGUCAGUAAGCCCGGAGGUUGGAGUGAAGCGGUGGGGGGAUAACGUUUAUUCUGGGGUCUG